UGCCCAAUGGUCAAAUUGGUUAAGACGUCGCCCUCUCAAGGCGGAAUUACGGGUUCGAGCCCCGUUUGGGCGAUCA
Molecule: transfer RNA, 76 nt
Filed under: Dellaglioa algida
Lineage: Bacteria; Bacillati; Bacillota; Bacilli; Lactobacillales; Lactobacillaceae
Description: Lactobacillus algidus tRNA-Glu
Rfam family: tRNA
About the family: Transfer RNA (tRNA) molecules are approximately 80 nucleotides in length.
Source: RNAcentral